UACGUAGGUGGCAAGCGUUAUCCGGAUUUACUGGGUGUAAAGGGCGUGUAGGCGGGGAAGCAAGUCAGAUGUGAAAGCCACGGGCUCAACCUGUGGCCUGCAUUUGAAACUGUUUUUCUUGAGUGCUGGAGAGGCAAUCGGAAUUCCGUGUGUAGCGGUGAAAUGCGUAGAUAUACGGAGGAACACCAGUGGCGAAGGCGGAUUGCUGGACAGUAACUGACGCUGAGGCGCGAAAGCGUGGGGAGCAAACAGG
Molecule: ribosomal RNA, 253 nt
Filed under: uncultured bacterium
Lineage: Bacteria
Description: partial 16S ribosomal RNA
Rfam family: Bacterial small subunit ribosomal RNA
Source: RNAcentral